GCCCCAGUGGCGCAAUCGGUUAGCGCACGGUACUUAUAAUGCCGGGUUGCGAGUUCGAGCCUCGCCUGGGGCA
RNAcentral lists this transfer RNA (73 nucleotides) under Thrips palmi. RNAcentral's name for it is "tRNA-Ile". It matches the Rfam family "tRNA". From Rfam's summary of the family: Transfer RNA (tRNA) molecules are approximately 80 nucleotides in length. Their secondary structure includes four short double-helical elements and three loops (D, anti-codon, and T loops). Lineage: Eukaryota; Metazoa; Arthropoda; Insecta; Thysanoptera; Thripidae. The record is from RNAcentral.